RNA transcript from Cryptotermes secundus, 6236 nucleotides. It is a transcript of the gene named circumsporozoite protein-like, with no coding region annotated. The record is from RefSeq and is a predicted model, not a curated record. NCBI's taxonomy places the organism in Eukaryota, Metazoa, Arthropoda, Insecta, Blattodea, Kalotermitidae. The transcript is spliced from 2 exons.
GCCGCAAGGCCACCACCCACACACAGACAACCAUACCCCGAGCGGGACCAGAACCCACGAUCCCAGCACUCGAGCGGGUGAACACGGCCCACGCCCCAGACCGCGCGACAACCGUGAUCGGUAAAUGAGGAACUAGUGCACAAUAAUAAUUCAGUUAAAUUCUUAUUUAUUUGAGUGGCAACUCAACAGCCCAAGGACCAGUUACAAUGUGAGCACGAGCGAAAGAAAGAAAACAAAGCACAAAUCAAAGCAAAGUAAUAAUAAUAAUAAUGCUAUUAAAAAUAAACUUAGCUUUGAAAUACUAAGCAAUAUUUACCUGUCAAAUGCGAUAGGAGAAAUCAAAAUUUAAGAAAACAGGCGUAAGUAAACUAUGAUAAGGCAACAUAAAAUUAAAUAUUAUAUUAUAUAUGUUGCGCCGCAAUUUUGAGACUAGAAGUCAAAAUGCAUUGCCUAAAUGUUUUAAGACUUGCGACAAACGUUUUACAACAAUCACAUUAGUAUGUCAACACCUGGAAAGACAAUCUAGAUUAAGAAUGCCUGAGCUAGCAGAAUACGCAAAAGCACUUCUGCAAGUCGCGUUGUAGGUACACUGGAGUAUAAUAAUAUUAUUAAAUAAGCAGCAAAGAGGAACACGGAACCACCCACAGCCAAUUAGAAUAUACCACUUAGGGAACUGAGGACGAAAGGAGGAGUUAACCUCCAUCUUUCGCCAACCGCAGAGUCAGCAAGUUAAUGAUAUAAAUUGCUGAAUUCAGGAGACUUACGGAUCUGAUCUAAAACGUAAUAACCAGUAGACAGCCGGAGGCCCUAUCCGAUAUGGGUGCCACGAGAUGGUGGAUGGCGACAUUUAUCUGCAUUUCUAUUGCAAGUAAGUCUCUUUGCUCAUAUUAGCCAUGUUAUUGAAACGUCAGUGUUGUUGUGUGAUCUCAAAGUACAGUCUCCAGUGUACCCCAGCGAGCGCCAGGGUAGAAUAGGGUAGAAAUUGUGUAGAGUGACAGGCAAUGAAGGGAAGCAACAGUCUCACGGCAUCUCCCACUGAGAGGGAAAUUAGAAAGAGAGUAACGAGACGGUGUUAUGUAAACAUGCCGAAGGCGGCCCCUUUAUUGUAAAUAUCAGUGUAAAUAGACGAGUGUACAUAGAAUAGGAUGUACGCAGGGAGUUUUGAUUCACCCCUCCAUAACCUACCCGUCCACGACGGAUCCCGAGCGAUCAUAACCAAGACAGCCGAGUGUAGCGAAGAGCCUAACUAAAAGGGUGGAGAUGGACUAAAUUAGUAAUAUUUUCUCACCCCCCCCCAAAGUAGUGCCAGCUGCGCGAUCAACGAAACACACCCCGUACAGAUUGGUAGAAGAGAAAGGGUUUAGAAAACAGGAAUAGAUGGGGAUAAUAUUAAAUAGAACCAUGGAGGCUAGAAUAGCACAAUUAGAGGAACAAUUAAGAGGGCUAACAAUAGGGACAAAAACCAAAGAUCUAUAUAUCUGGCCGCAAGUAUCAAGGAAUGGAGCGGUCAAGCCAACGCCAGACCGGUAACCGAGUUCAUAUCACAGGUGGAGCAAUGUGCACGCCUGAGCAACUGGUCACGAGAGGACUUAGCAGACAUAGCGAGAGCUAAGUUAAUAGGUGAAGCGAGAGUGUUUAUAAACGGUAGGGUAUUCAGAAAACAUCCUGUCCUGUACAAGUCCAUUAAUACCUCUAACUUAAUUUAUAUUUUCAGAACAGACCAUCAGAAAGGGCUCCCGCCGCCCCUCAACAAGGCAUGCCAAGGGAUCCAGGGGCGUCAAGAACGCCAGGGGCCGGGCCACCAGGACCAGGCUCGCCAGAGGACCCCGCAGAAGAAACCAAUGUGGCGUCAUUAGAAGUAAGCAAAGUAAAUGCGUCCCUGUAACAGGCCGUGGAGGCCUAUAGGGUGGUGAGAUGUGGAGGUUCCCACAUUUUCUAGACAGUCGGCUCAUAGAAGGCGAUAAGGUUAUCAGCCUUACGCGCCCGCCGCGUGGGGGGAAACUCGAAGAUACUAGCUCAAAUGAUCAGGGCAAUGAAGAUACGCGGCGAAGAAGACGUUAGAGAGCAGUUAACUCUAGACCAGCAACUUAAUCAGACCGCGCGCCGGAUAACAGAGUCGGAAAAAAGGGCGAGCUAUACGAGAGCUAGAAGUGUUGUUAAUGAAGAUGUACGCGGAUAUAGCAAGCGUAGCAUUAAGCCUAGACUUAGCGAUGUCACAUCGCCUGACCGCCAGUUUGCUACCCUCCCAUAAACUGUUCGCGCUUUUACGCGACAUUUAUGUCCAACCAGAACAAGUUUAUUCAUUUAUUACAGCCUUGAAGCAGGAGAAUAUGCAUGUAUUUUACGCAUCGGCCCAAGUCGCAGUCCUGGCCACACAGGAAGCUAUUCGCCUUGUUAUCCAACAUCCUCUAAGACACGAGAAGCGAACCUACCUUGUGUACGACCCAGUGGCGUUACCAACAUUUGAGCUCCAAAUAGAAAAAUUCCUCAGAAUUCAAACAGGGACCGAGAGGUUGGCGGUAUCAUCCGAUAGGAGGAGUUAUAUGUUGCUACCUGCAGACAAUAUGAAGAGUUGCCAGGAGGGAGCUAUGACAAUAUGUCAGGGGGUAGUUCCCACCAUACAGAGGACAGACGAGACUUGCCUGAGUAGCCUAUAUUUCGGAACCACCCAAGAUUACUCGCUGUGCACACGAGAGAUUGUGUCCAACAACUUUAGGCAUGUAUUUAGAAAACAUCCUGUCCUGUAAAAGUCCAUUAAUCCCUCUAACUUAAUUUAUAUUUUCAGAACAGACAAUCAGAAAGGGCCCCUGCCGCCCCGGAACGAGAACGCCAGGGGCUUCAAGUACGCCAGGGGCCGGGCCACCAGGCAGAAGCUCGCCAGAGGGCCGGCCUCGAAAAAAAACCACAAUGGCGAUACUAGCAGUAAGUAAAGUAAAUGCGUCCCUGUAACAGGCCGUGGAGGCCUAUAGGGUGGUGAGAUGUGGAGGUUCCCACAUUUUCUAGACAGUCGGCUCAUAGAAGGCGGUAAGGUUAUCAGCCUUACGCGCCCGCCGCGUGGGGGGAAACUCGAAGAUACUAGCUCAAAUGAUCAGGGCAAUGAAGAUACGCCGCGAAGAAGACGUUAGAGAGCAGUUAACUCUAGACCAGCAACUUAAUCAGACCGCGCGCCGGAUAACCGAGUCGGAAAAAAGGGCGAGCUAUACGAGAGCUAGAAGUGUUGUUAAUGAAGAUGUACGCGGAUAUAGCAAGCGUAGCAUUAAGCCUAGACUUAGCGAUGUCACAUCGCCUGACCGCCAGUUUGCUACCCUCCCAUAAACUGUUCGCGCUUUUACGCGACAUUUAUGUCCAACCAGAACAAGUUUAUUCAUUUAUUACAGCCUUGAAGCAGGAGAAUAUGCAUGUAUUUUACGCAUCGGCCCAAGUCGCAGUCCUGGCCACACAGGAAGCUAUUCGCCUUGUUAUCCAACAUCCUCUAAGACACGAGAAGCGAACCUACCUUGUGUACGACCCAGUGGCGUUACCAACAUUUGAGCUCCAAAUAGAAAAAUUCCUCAGAAUUCAAACAGGGACCGAGAGGUUGGCGGUAUCAUCCGAUAGGAGGAGUUAUAUGUUGCUACCUGCAGACAAUAUGAAGAGUUGCCAGGAGGGAGCUAUGACAAUAUGUCAGGGGGUAGUUCCCACCAUACAGAGGACAGACGAGACUUGCCUGAGUAGCCUAUAUUUCGGAACCACCCAAGAUUACUCGCUGUGCACACGAGAGAUUGUGUCCAACAACUUUAGGCAUGUAUUUAGAAAACAUCCUGUCCUGUAAAAGUCCAUUAAUCCCUCUAACUUAAUUUAUAUUUUCAGAACAGACAAUCAGAAAGGGCCCCUGCCGCCCCGGAACGAGAACGCCAGGGGCUUCAAGUACGCCAGGGGCCGGGCCACCAGGCAGAAGCUCGCCAGAGGGCCGGCCUCGAAAAAAAACCACAAUGGCGAUACUAGCAGUAAGUAAAGUAAAUGCGUCCCUGUAACAGGCCGUGGAGGCCUAUAGGGUGGUGAGAUGUGGAGGUUCCCACAUUUUCUAGACAGUCGGCUCAUAGAAGGCGGUAAGGUUAUCAGCCUUACGCGCCCGCCGCGUGGGGGGAAACUCGAAGAUACUAGCUCAAAUGAUCAGGGCAAUGAAGAUACGCCGCGAAGAAGACGUUAGAGAGCAGUUAACUCUAGACCAGCAACUUGAUCAGACCGCGCGCCGGAUAACCGAGUCGGGAAAAAGGGCGAGCUAUACGAGAGCUAGAAGUGUUGUUAAUGAAGAUGUACGCGGAUAUAGCAAGCGUAGCAUUAAGCCUAGACUUAGCGAUGUCACAUCGCCUGACCGCCAGUUUGCUACCCUCCCAUAAACUGUUCGCGAUUUUACGCGACAUUUAUGUCCAACCAGAACAAGGCUAUUCAUUUGUUGUGCCCAGGACUUUUGAAAACAUUUUGAAAACUUGGCCUUGAAGUUUUAAAUUAUAUUAUUAAGGCUUAGCAGAUAUGAAUUUAUGGUUGAGCUAGAAUGAUGAAAUUAACUACGGAAAUCGAGAUUGCUCAUGUAUCCUGUUAUUCAUGAUUAUUCAUUUCCGUUAGUCAGCCACUUCCCACAAUGAGGGACAAAGUCAGGAAAGACCAAAUAUAGGCAAGUUUAAGAACCGAAGGGAAUGUAGCCAAUGGGAAUCUCCGAUUCCCAAUGCGUCCAUGAGGACCGAAGCACGCCCACGGAUCCAGAUGGUAUAAGAACCCUGGGACCAGAGGGCGGAGGGCUAAGCUAAGACUGCACGAUUGUCGCCAGACGCCGACAGAGUACGCUUUCGAGCCCGUGGGGCACGACGACGCGGAGUCGCGAGGGGCAUCACUGAACAAGGAACCGCGAGAGAUGGGACUAUAGUUGUCGCCCAAGGAAGGGGCACAACAGACCAUCAGAAUGGGCUCCCGCCGCCCCUCAACAAGGACGCCAAGGGAUCCAGGGGCGCCAAGAACGCCAGGGGCCGGGCCACCAGGCCCAGGCUCGCCAGAGGCCCACACAAAAAACCAAUGUGGCGCUAUUAGAAGUAAGUAAAGUAAAUGUGUCCCUGUAACAGGCCGUGGAGGCCUAUAGGGUUGUGAGAUAUGUGGAGGUUCCCACAUUUUCUAGACAGUCGGCUCAUAGAAGGCGAUAAGGUUAUCAGCCUUACGCGCCCGCCGCGUGGGGGGAAACUCGAAGGUACGUACUAGCUCAAAUGAUCAGGGCAAUGAAGAUACGCCGCGAAGAAGACGUUAGAGAGCAGUUAACUCUACACCAGCAACUUAAUCAGACCGCGCGCCGGAUAACCGAGUCGGAAAAAAGAGCGAGCUAAACGAGAGCUAGAAGUGUUGUUAAUGAAGAUGUACGCGGAUAUAGCAAGCGUAGCAUUAAGCCUAGACUUAGCGAUGUCACAUCGCAUGACCGCCAGUUUUCUACCCUCCCAUAAACUGUUCGCGAUUUUACGCGACAUUUAUGUCCAACCAGAACAAGGCUAUUCAUUUAUUACAGCCUUGAAGCCGGAGAAUAUGCAUGCAUUUUACGAAUCGGCCCAAGCCGCAGUCCUGGCCACACAGGAAGCUAUUCGCCUUGUUAUCCAACUUCCUCUAAGACACGAGAAGCGAACCUACCUUGUGUACGACCCAGUGGCGUUACCAACAUUUGAGAACCAUAUAGGAAAAUUUGUCAGAUUUCAAACAGGGACCGAGAGGUUAGCGGUAUCAUCCGAUAGGAGGAGUUAUAUGUUGCUACCUGCAGACAAUAUGAAGAGUUGCCAGGAGGGAACUAUGGCAAUAUGUCAGGGGGUAGUUCCCACCAUAGAGAGGACAGACGAGACUUGCCUGAGUAGCCUAUAUUUCGGAACCACCCAAGGUUACUCGCUGUGCACACGAGAGAUUGUGUCCAACAAUUUUAGGCCUGUAUUUAGAAAACAUCCUGUCCUGUACCAAGUCCAUUAAUCCCUCUAACUUAAUUUAUAUUUUCAGAACAGACCAUCAGAAAGGGCUACCGCCGCCCUUCAACAAGGACGCCAAGGGAUCCAGGGGCGUCAAGAACGCCAGGGGCCGGGCCACCAGGCCCAGGCUCGCCAGAGGCCCACACACAAAAAACCAAUGUGGCGCUAUUAGAAGCAAGCAAAGUAAAUGCGUCCCUGUAACACGCCGUGGAGGCCUACAGGGUGGUGAGACGUGGAGGUUCCCACAUUUUCUAGACAGUCGGCUCA